Molecule: non-coding RNA, 10391 nt
Organism: Odocoileus virginianus texanus
Lineage: Eukaryota; Metazoa; Chordata; Mammalia; Artiodactyla; Cervidae
Source: RefSeq, a predicted model, not a curated record
AAGGCGAGCCGACCCAGACGCGUCCGCGCGCCGGCAGCUGCGGUCUCGGGCCGUCUCCACCAGUCCGGCCGCGCCCGCCGCUCCGCCCGGGCUCCACCGCCUCCGGCUCGCUGGUGGCCCUGCGGCCUCUUCACCUCUCCGCGGCCGCCAGGUGCGCCCGGAGAGCAGCGCCGACCGCCGGGCGUGCGCGGGGGGUCACACCGAGCGCCGGCUUCCGCGACGCCGGGAAGCCUCUGUCGCCGCCGCUACCUCGGUCACCACCGCCUCAGAUCCCUUCAUGUGGCUGUGAGCCCCGAGGCGGAGCAUGCGGACCAGGCUUCCCCCAGCGCUCGCCGCCCUGGGCGCGGCCCUGCUCCUGUCUUCCAUCGAGGCAGAAGUUGAACCACCUUCAGACUUGAAUUUUAAAAUUAUAGAUGAAAAUACUGUUCAUAUGUCAUGGGCAAUACCACCUGAUCCAAUUGUGGGUUUCAAAAUAACAGUGGACCCUACAACGGAUGGGCCCACUAAAGAAUUUACCCUUUCAGCUAGUACCACUGAAACUUUAUUAACAGAGCUUAUACCUGAAAUAGAGUAUGUGGUGACAAUCACUUCAUAUGAUGAAGUAGAAGAAAGUGUACCAGUUAUAGGCCAAUUAACAAUUCAAACAGGUGGCCCGACAAAGCCAGGGGAGAAGAAACCUGGAAAAACAGAGAUACAAAAAUGUUCUGUCAGUGCCUGGACCGAUUUAGUUUUCCUUGUGGAUGGCUCAUGGAGUGUGGGAAGAAACAAUUUCAAGUACAUCUUAGACUUCAUUGCUGCUCUCGUGUCUGCUUUUGACAUUGGGGAAGAGAAGACAAGGGUUGGAGUUGUUCAGUAUAGCUCUGACACGAGGACGGAAUUUAACUUAAAUCAAUACUACCAACAGGAAGACCUGCUCGCCGCAAUUAAAAAAAUCCCAUACAAAGGUGGCAACACAAUGACAGGGGAAGCCAUUGAUUACUUAAUUAAAAAUACGUUCAAGGAAUCUGCUGGGGCAAGAGUUGGCUUUCCCAAAGUGGCGAUUAUCAUUACAGAUGGCAAAUCCCAGGACGAAGUGGAAAUUCCAGCAAGAGAGCUUCGAAAUAUUGGGGUUGAAGUGUUCUCUUUGGGCAUCAAAGCUGCAGAUGCAAAAGAACUCAAACAAAUUGCCUCCACACCUUCUCUCAAUCAUGUUUUCAAUGUGGCCAACUUCGAUGCCAUUGUGGAUAUUCAGAAUGAGAUCAUCUCCCAGGUGUGCUCAGGUGUGGAUGAACAGCUCGGUGAACUGGUCAGCGGAGAAGAAGUUGUUGAACCUCCUUCAAAUUUGAUUGCCACGGAAGUCUCGUCAAAAUACGUUAAGCUAAGCUGGAGUCCAUCUCCUAGUGCAGUGACUGGCUAUAAAGUUCUCCUCAUACCCAUGACCACGGGAAGCCGGCAGCACGCUCUGAGUGUGGGGCCUCAGACAACCACGCUCAGCGUCCGUGACCUCUCAGCAGACACAGAGUACCAGAUCAGUGUUUCUGCCAUGAAGGGGCUGACAUCCAGUGAACCUGUUUCAAUAAUGGAGAAGACUCAACCAAUGAAAGUUCAAGUGGAAUGCUCACGUGGUGUGGAUAUAAAAGCCGAUAUUGUGUUUUUGGUUGAUGGUUCCUAUAGCAUUGGGAUUGCAAACUUUGUUAAAGUUAGGGCCUUUUUGGAAGUUCUCGUAAAAAGUUUUGAGAUUUCACCAAAUAGGGUACAGAUAAGUCUUGUCCAGUACAGCCGGGAUCCUCAUACCGAAUUCACACUGAAAAAAUUCACCAAAGUUGAAGAUAUAAUUGAAGCAAUAAACACUUUCCCCUACCGAGGAGGGUCUACCAACACUGGGAAAGCAAUGACUUAUGUCAGAGAGAAAAUAUUUGUGCCGAGCAAGGGUUCAAGAAGCAAUGUCCCAAAGGUCAUGAUUCUUAUCACAGAUGGAAAAUCUUCAGAUGCUUUCAGAGACCCAGCUAUAAAACUGAGGAAUUCAGAUGUUGAAAUCUUUGCUGUUGGUGUGAAGGAUGCUGUUCGCUCAGAACUAGAAGCCAUUGCCUCUCCUCCUGCUGAGACCCAUGUGUUCACAGUGGAAGAUUUUGAUGCUUUUCAGAGGAUAUCUUUUGAACUCACACAGUCUAUCUGCCUUAGAAUUGAGCAAGAAUUGGCAGCCAUAAAGAAAAAAGCUUAUGUGCCUCCAAAGGAUAUUAAUUUUUCUGAGGUGACUUCCAACAGUUUGAAAACCAGCUGGUCUCCUGCUGGAGAAAAUGUUUUUUCGUACCACAUCACCUACAAAGAAGCUACUGGGGAUGAUGAAGUGACGUUGGUGGAGCCGGCUUCGAGCACCAGUGUGGUCCUCAGCAACUUGAAACCAGAGACCCUGUACCUUGUCAAUGUGACCGCGGAGUAUGAGGAUGGCUUCAGUAUCCCCUUAGCUGGAGAGGAGACCACCGCAGAAGUGAAAGGAGCACCUCGAAACCUAAAGGUGACAGAUGAGACUACGGAUAGCUUUAAAAUUACCUGGACUCAAGCUCCGGGGAGAGUCUUAAGGUACCGAAUUAUUUAUAGACCUGUUGCUGGUGGAGAAAGCAAAGAAGUUACCACUCCAGCCAAUCAGAGGAGGAGAACGCUGGAGAACCUGACUCCAGACACAAAAUAUGAAGUAUCUGUAAUUCCUGAAUAUUUCUCAGGACCCGGGUCUCCGUUGACUGGAAAUGCAGCCACUGAAGAAGUUAGAGGGAAGCCGAGGGAUUUACGAGUUUCUGACCCUACGACAUCAACGAUGAAACUGGCUUGGACGGGGGCACCAGGAAAGGUGAAACAGUAUCUCAUCACAUACACACCGGUGGCAGGAGGUGACACUCAGGAGGUCACUGUGAAGGGAGACUCAGCAAGUACCGUCCUGAGAGGGUUAAAUGAAGGGACGCCGUACGCCUUGUCUGUGACAGCCUUGUACGCCUCUGGAGCUGGAGAUGCCCUUUUUGGAGAAGGAACAACACUUGAAGAGCGUGGUUCACCUGGAGAUUUGAUUACUAAGGAUAUCACGGACACAUCGAUUGGGGCUUAUUGGACGUCAGCUCCAGGAAUGGUUCGCGGUUACAGGGUCUCUUGGCAAUCACUUUAUGAUGAUAUAGAGGCUGGAGAAAAGAGUCUUCCUGCAGAUGUAAUUCAUACUGUGAUAGAAAAUCUGCAGCCAGAGACCAAAUACAGAGUUUCCGUAUUUGCAACUUACAGCAGUGGAGAAGGGGAACCCCUGAGUGGAGAAGCCAUAACUGAAUUGUCUGAAGACUCGAAAACCUUGAAAGUGGAUGAAGAAACGGAAAACACAAUGAGAGUUACCUGGAAACCGGCCCCUGGGAAGGUUGUCAACUACCGUGUUGUGUAUCGCCCCCGCGGGGGUGGGAGACAGAUGGUUGCUAAAGUGUCACCCACAGUUACCUCAACAGUGCUAAAGCGACUUCAGCCCCAGACCACGUAUGACAUCACCGUUCUCCCAGUUUACAAGACAGGAGAAGGAAAGCUAAGGCAAGGAUCAGGAACAACAGCUUCUCGAUUUAAAUCACCCAGAAACCUCAAAACAUCUGAUCCAACCAUGUCAAGCUUCCGGGUGACUUGGGAGCCCGCACCUGGUGAAGUCAAGGGUUACAAGGUCACGUUUCACCCCACGGGAGAUGACAGAAGGCUAGGGGAGUUAGUGGUUGGACCGUAUGACAACACAGUUGUUCUAGAGGAACUUAGGGCAGGUACCACCUAUAAAGUAAAUGUUUUUGGAAUGUUUGAUGGAGGAGAAAGUUCACCACUUGUUGGACAAGAAAUGACAACUCUCUCUGACACAACUGUUAUGCCAAUUUUAUCCUCUGGGAUGGAGUGUCUCACCCGGGCGGAGGCAGACAUCGUGCUGCUGGUGGACGGAUCCUGGAGCAUCGGCCGGGCCAACUUCAGAACCGUCAGGAGCUUCAUUUCCCGCAUCGUGGAAGUCUUUGAGAUUGGCCCCAAAAGAGUACAGAUUGCCCUCGCUCAGUACAGUGGGGACCCCAGGACAGAGUGGCAGUUAAAUGCUCACAAAGACAAGAAGAGCCUGCUGCAGGCCGUGGCGAACCUGCCUUACAAGGGAGGCAACACCCUCACAGGGAUGGCCUUGAAUUUCAUUCGCCAGCAGAGCUUCAAGGCCCAAGCUGGCAUGAGACCUCGAGCUCGCAAAAUCGGUGUUCUUAUCACUGAUGGAAAAUCCCAGGAUGAUGUUGAGGCACCUUCCAAAAAACUCAAGGAUGAAGGGGUGGAACUGUUCGCUGUUGGAAUUAAAAAUGCUGAUGAAGUUGAGUUAAAGAUGAUUGCAACAGAUCCUGAUGAUAUCCACGCAUACAACGUGGCGGAUUUUGAGUCACUCUCUAGGAUUGUGGAUGACCUCACCAACAACUUGUGUAACAGUGUCAAAGGUCCAGGUGACUUGGAAGCACCUUCCAACCUGGUUCUUUCUGAGCGGACCCAUCGUUCUAUGAGAGUGAGCUGGACCCCUCCUUCUGACAGCGUGGACAGGUACAAGGUGGAAUACUACCCAGUGUCAGGAGGGAAACGGCAAGAAUUUUAUGUGAGCCGAUUGGAAAGGAGCACGGUCCUGAAAGAUCUGAAGCCUGAAACUGAAUACGUUGUCAAUGUAUAUUCUGUAGUGGAAGACGAAUACAGUGAGCCUCUGAAGGGCACAGAAAAAACAUUGCCAGUGCCUGUGGUCAGCCUGAACAUCUACGACGUUGGCUCAACCACCAUGCACGCGCAGUGGCAGCCAGUCGGGGGCGCUACUGGCUACACCGUGACCUACGAACCCGUCAACGCCACGGUUCCGGCCAAGCCCGAAGAGAUGCGCGUGGAGCCUACCGUGAAUGACGUGCAGUUGAGUGACCUCUUCCCCAACACCGAGUAUGCGGUUACAGUCCAGGCGGUCCUGCAUGACCUCACCAGCGAGCCCGUCACAGCAAGGGAAGUCACCUUGCCUCUGCCCAGUCCUCGAGACCUGAAACUCAGAGACGUGACUCACAGCACCAUGAACGUCCUAUGGGAACCUGCGCCUGGAAAAGUGCGUAAAUACAUAGUUCGCUACAAAACCCCAGAAGAGGAAGCCAAAGAGGUAGAGGUGGACAGGUCACGGGCCAGCACGCCGCUUAAAGACCUCUUCUCACAAACCCUGUACACCGUCAGCGUGUCUGCCGUAUACGACGAGGGGGAGUCUCCCCCAGUGACUGCGCAAGAAACCACCCACACUGUGCCAGCCCCAACAAACCUACAGAUUACUGAAGUAACACCAGAGAGUUUCAGAGGGACUUGGGACCAUGGAGCUUCUGAUGUGUCUCUCUAUAGAAUCACCUGGGCGCCUUCAGGAAGCGCAGAUAAGAUGGAGACCAUCCUAAAUGGAGAUGAGAAUACUCUGGUGUUUCAAAACCUGAACCCCAACACUCUCUAUGAAGUUUCUGUUACCGCCAUUUAUCCUGAUGAGUCAGAAAGCGAUGACCUGAUUGGCAGUGAGCGUACACAGCGUUUGAUACCCUUAACAACACAAGCUCCAAAGAGUGGCCCACGAAACCUUCAGGUGUACAAUGCAACAUCUAACAGCUUGACUGUUAAGUGGGAUCCUGCAAGUGGUCGUGUGCAGAAAUACAGAAUCACCUACCAGCCUUCAACAGGGGAAGGCAAUGAACAAACGACCACGAUAGGAGGACGGCAGAACAGUGUGCUCCUGCAGAAGCUGAAGCCUGACACUCCUUACACCAUCACCGUGUCCUCCCUGUAUCCGGAUGGCGAAGGUGGUCGCAUGACAGGAAGAGGCAAGACCAAACCUUUGAAUACCGUGAGGAACCUCAGAGUGUAUGACCCUUCCACCAGCAGUUUGAACGUUCGCUGGGACCACGCCGAGGGCAAUCCUCGCCAGUACAAGCUCUUCUAUGCACCCACAGCAGGGGGGCCGGAGGAACUGGUACCAAUCCCUGGGAAUACCAAUUAUGCCAUUCUUAGGAAUCUGCAGCCAGAUACCCAAUACACCGUUACAGUGGUGCCUGUUUAUUCUGAAGGUGAUGGAGGACGCACAUCAGAUACUGGAAGGACCUUGGUGAGAGGGCUGGCGAGAAAUGUCCAAGUGUACAAUCCAACACCAAACAACCUGGACGUUCGUUGGGACUCGGCACCUGGCCCAGUGCAGCAGUAUCGCAUUGUGUAUUCACCUCAGGAUGGUACAAGACCCUCCGAAUCUAUUGUGGUGCCAGGAAAUACCCACACGGUGCACUUGGAGCAGCUGAUUCCGGACACGCCCUAUUCUGUGAACAUCGUGGCGCUCUACUCGGAUGCAGAAGGGAAUCCCAGCCCUGGCCAGGGCCGCACAUUACCACGAAGUGGACCAAGAAACCUCAGAGUCUUUGGGGAGACCACCAACAGCCUCUCAGUAGCCUGGGAUCACGCUGAUGGGCCAGUUCAACAAUACAGGAUCAUUUAUUCUCCCACUGUUGGUGACCCGAUUGAUGAAUAUACCACUGUCCCAGGCAGAAGAAACAACGUAAUUCUCCAGCCCCUGCAGCCGGAUACCCCCUAUAAAAUUACCAUUAUUCCCGUUUAUGAAGAUGGAGAUGGUUCCCAUUUGACAGGAAAUGGAAGAACUGUGGGAUUACUUCCUCCUCAGAACAUACACAUCUCUGAUGAGUGGUAUACCAGAUUCAGGGUGUCCUGGGAUCCUUCACCCUCUCCUGUUCUUGGAUAUAAAAUUGUGUAUAAGCCAGCAGGUUCCAAUGAGCCCAUGGAAGUCUUUGUUGGAGAAGUGACAUCGUACACGUUACACAAUCUCAACCCCAGCACCACCUAUGACGUGAAUGUCUAUGCUCAGUAUGAUUCUGGACUCAGUGUUCCUCUGACCGACCAAGGCACGACAUUAUAUUUGAAUGUGACAGAUCUGAAAACUUACCAAGUCGGGUGGGAUACAUUCUGUGUCAGAUGGUUGGCUCAUCGAGCAGCUACUUCCUACAGACUAAAACUAAGCCCUGCAGAUGGAACCAGAGGGCAGGAAAUCACAGUGCGUGGAUCAGAAACCAGUCACUGCUUCACCGACCUGUCACCAGAAACUGAUUACAGCGUCACCGUCUUUGUGCAAACACCAAAUCUUGAGGGACCAGGUGUCUCGGUCAAAGAACGUACUACCUUAAAACCAACAGAAGCCCCUACAGAGCCACCCACACCCCCUCCUCCUCCUACAAUUCCACCAGCCCGGGAAGUGUGCAAAGGGGCCAAAGCAGAUAUUGUAUUCUUGACCGAUGCUUCCUGGAGUAUUGGGGAUGAUAAUUUUAACAAAGUUGUAAAAUUCAUCUUCAAUACCGUGGGAGGCUUUGAUGAAAUCAGUCCUGCUGGAAUUCAGGUCUCAUUUGUGCAGUACAGUGAUGAGGUCAAGUCUGAGUUUAAGCUGAACACAUACAACGACAAGGCCCUGGCCCUGGGGGCUCUCCAGAAUAUUCGGUACAGAGGAGGAAACACAAGAACAGGCAAGGCUCUGACCUUUAUCAAGGAGAAGGUGUUGACCUGGGAGAGCGGCAUGAGGAAGAAUGUCCCCAAAGUGCUGGUUGUGGUCACGGAUGGUCGGUCGCAGGAUGAGGUCAAGAAGGCAGCUUUGGUCAUCCAGCAGUCAGGGUUCAGUGUCUUUGUAGUUGGUGUGGCUGAUGUCGACUACAAUGAACUUGCCAACAUAGCCAGCAAACCAAGCGAGCGGCACGUGUUCAUUGUGGAUGACUUCGAAUCUUUUGAGAAGAUAGAGGACAACCUCAUCACAUUUGUGUGUGAAACUGCCACUUCAAGUUGUCCUCUCAUUUAUUUGGACGGCUACACCUCGCCAGGUUUUAAGAUGCUUGAGGCAUACAAUCUGACAGAAAAGAAUUUUGCUUCUGUGCAAGGGGUCUCCCUGGAAUCCGGCUCUUUCCCCAGCCACUCGUCUUACAGGCUCCAGAAGAAUGCCUUUGUGAGCCAGCCCACAGUAGAACUACAUCCCAAUGGACUCCCUCCUUCAUAUACAAUUAUAUUACUGUUCAGACUCCUCCCAGAAACUCCCAGCGACCCUUUUGCAAUUUGGCAAAUCACAGACAGAGACUAUAAACCACAAGUUGGGGUGAUUGCAGAUCCUUCUAGCAAGACAUUAUCAUUCUUUAACAAGGAUACAAGAGGUGAGGUGCAGACUGUUACAUUUGACACAGAUGAAGUGAAGGCAUUAUUUUAUGGAAGUUUCCAUAAGGUUCAUAUCGUAGUGACCUCGAAAAGUGUUAAGCUUUACAUCGACUGCUAUGAGAUUGUAGAGAAGGAUAUCAAGGAAGCUGGAAAUAUCACCACUGAUGGUUAUGAAAUUCUUGGAAAACUGCUUAAAGGGGAGAGGAAGUCAGCCACAUUCCAAAUCCAGAAUUUUGAUAUUGUCUGCAGUCCGGUGUGGACCAGUAGAGACAGAUGCUGUGAUAUUCCCUCCAGAAGAGAUGAAGCAAAAUGCCCAGCUCUUCCGAAUGCUUGCACAUGUACACAGGACAGUGUUGGACCUCCAGGACCCCCCGGCCCUGCAGGAGGACCUGGUGCUAAAGGUCCGAGAGGUGAAAGAGGUGUCAGCGGGGCAGUUGGGCCGCCCGGUCCUCGUGGAGAUACAGGUCCUCCUGGUCCCCAGGGCCCUCCAGGCCCUCAGGGACCCAACGGCCUCUCUAUUCCCGGUGAACAAGGUCGCCAGGGAAUGAAGGGCGAUGCCGGAGAGCCAGGACUUCCAGGCCGGACUGGAACUCCAGGAUUACCUGGCCCACCAGGACCAAUGGGCCCUCCAGGAGACAGAGGCUUUACUGGAAAAGAUGGAGCAAUGGGACCCAGGGGUCCCCCUGGGCCACUGGUAAGAAUGGAAUGGGUGACAGUCAUCUUCCUGUCCUGACCCCCUACCACCACUUGCUAGGAAAAAGCUCAGAAACCUGACCUUUGAGGCAUGUUCCAUCUGUGCUGUGGACUGCACUGUUGAGGGACCUGCUUGUUUUUAUUCUCCUAAAUCAAAAUCAGCUAGAGAAAACAGAUGUGUUAAAAUAAUCUUUCUGUUUAAUCAAAUUAUAUUUGAAAAACAGAAAAAUAUCUCUAACUGGUUAGUGCCCCAGUUCCUUCAUUGUGUACAUUAAGUGGUGGGCUUUAUGAUCUUGCUGGUCAUUUCCUGUUCUAGAAUUUUAAGAGUCUGUAGCUUAUGAUAUUUGAAUUUUAAGGAUAUUAAUUACAGAACAGCUUUAAGUUUUUCAAAGGAUGUAAUUCUUACUGAGUAAGUUUUCUAAUUAAGAUCUUUGGGAAAAUUACUGAGGCCAUUGACUCUGAAAGAAGUAUCUGUAUAUCUGCAUCCAGGUGAGAUCGCAAUUACAUUGUUGGAGGUAAUGGAUGUUCUUCAUGGCUUCUGGCUGGAUAGGAAUGAUUUAUGUUUAAUAUAUAUGUACUCAAGUAGAGUUGAAAAUGUACAGUAAACUUUCAUUUAAAGUAUUUACUACAGAGCUUGACCUUUAUAUGAUUGAUGAAUGGAGGAUUGUUUUAUAGAAAUCUGAUGAUUCCAUUUUAAGGAAAUUUUAGCUUUAGAAGAUAAUCUAUUGACUAGCAAUAUUAUAAAUAUUUUACUAAAAUAUGGAUGUGUGAAAGUCGCUCAGUCGUGUCAGACUCUUUGCGACCCCACAGACUAAACUAUGGCUAAAGUUUCUUAAAGCUGUGCUAAAAGGGAGAAAUUCUUAUGGUUUUGAUGGGGUUGAGGGUGCUGAUAUGAUAGAAGAGAAUUAUGCUUUAUUCGAAUGCACCAAACCAGUAAAAGUGAGUUUCUAGGCUGAGCUACGACUUCCUGGAGAUAAGGGGAACUCCACCACAUGGUGCUCAGAUACCUUCUCAAUUUCUUCCCCAAACAAAGUUUUCGCUCUUGUCUUUUGAUGUGUUUUCUAUUUUGAUAACAGAAAUAAACGAACAGAAAUUGCUUUCUGUAAAUUCACUUGGUAGCCAGUUUACUAGGAUCCCAGUCUGUGAAUGGUGAAACUGAUUAAAAACAGUAUAUGCAUAUAUUUUUCAAAUGGUUUCAAAUGUAAUUUUCAACUAUACACUCCAUAAAGACUGAAUAGGAAUUUUCAAGAUUUUUUUCCUCCAUGUCAUCUUAAAUUUGAUUUUAUUCUUCCUUAAUACGCUGAAACCUUUCAAAACCUUCCGCGCUUUGUUAGCUUACUUUACGUGGGACUCCUCUUUCACGGUAACCUUUUGUUUCUCUGCCUGUGUGUUGCAGGGAAGCCCAGGCUCCCCGGGAGUCACAGGACCAAGUGGGAAGCCAGGAAAGCCAGGAGAUCACGGCAGACCAGGUCCAUCAGGAUUGAAAGGAGAGAAAGGCGAUAGAG